This 506-nucleotide long non-coding RNA is filed under the name Phasianus colchicus (ring-necked pheasant). RNAcentral describes it as "lncRNA (ENSPCLG00000011344.1)". The record is from RNAcentral. Lineage: Eukaryota; Metazoa; Chordata; Aves; Galliformes; Phasianidae.
UAUGUUUCAGUUUGUGUUCCUCUGACCAAGAUUAACGUUUGAGUCUCCAAAACUUUCAUACGAGGAGCAAAUGUCCACGUAUAGGAUCAGCUCUGAAACCACAGACCCUGUUCAGGGAUUGUCCUUCUUUCUCCUUUCCAGAUGCUAAAACUCUUCAAAAGGGAAUGCCACUCUGGGUGCAAUCAAAGUGUGAAGAAGGGAUAUGGAUCAUGACAGGACAGUUAUUUAUUUUCUUCUAAACAAUGAGCAAAGUGACCUUAGUCUGCAUGUAAGAAUUUUGAGGGUGUGGGAAUUCACCUUCUCUAUAGGCAUAAAUAUAUCAAAAUUAUUCUUCUGAGGCCUGAUCUUCUCCAGUGAAGAUUUCUGACCUGUAAAAAUGCAUGUGUCUCUUUUAUGUUCAUAGCAAAAUUAGUAAGAAACUUGAAAAGAAAAUUAGGAAGUGCUACCAAAAGUGUUUCUGAAAGGUCCUUGGUCCGUCUCUCUUUUGUACUACACUUUAUUCCUCA